Molecule: ribosomal RNA, 1417 nt
Filed under: Limosilactobacillus fermentum
Lineage: Bacteria; Bacillati; Bacillota; Bacilli; Lactobacillales; Lactobacillaceae
Description: Lactobacillus fermentum 16S ribosomal RNA
Rfam family: Bacterial small subunit ribosomal RNA
Source: RNAcentral
ACGAGUGGCGGACGGGUGAGUAACACGUAGGUAACCUGCCCAGAAGCGGGGGACAACAUUUGGAAACAGAUGCUAAUACCGCAUAACAGCGUUGUUCGCAUGAACAACGCUUAAAAGAUGGCUUCUCGCUAUCACUUCUGGAUGGACCUGCGGUGCAUUAGCUUGUUGGUGGGGUAAUGGCCUACCAAGGCGAUGAUGCAUAGCCGAGUUGAGAGACUGAUCGGCCACAAUGGGACUGAGACACGGCCCAUACUCCUACGGGAGGCAGCAGUAGGGAAUCUUCCACAAUGGGCGCAAGCCUGAUGGAGCAACACCGCGUGAGUGAAGAAGGGUUUCGGCUCGUAAAGCUCUGUUGUUAAAGAAGAACACGUAUGAGAGUAACUGUUCAUACGUUGACGGUAUUUAACCAGAAAGUCACGGCUAACUACGUGCCAGCAGCCGCGGUAAUACGUAGGUGGCAAGCGUUAUCCGGAUUUAUUGGGCGUAAAGAGAGUGCAGGCGGUUUUCUAAGUCUGAUGUGAAAGCCUUCGGCUUAACCGGAGAAGUGCAUCGGAAACUGGAUAACUUGAGUGCAGAAGAGGGUAGUGGAACUCCAUGUGUAGCGGUGGAAUGCGUAGAUAUAUGGAAGAACACCAGUGGCGAAGGCGGCUACCUGGUCUGCAACUGACGCUGAGACUCGAAAGCAUGGGUAGCGAACAGGAUUAGAUACCCUGGUAGUCCAUGCCGUAAACGAUGAGUGCUAGGUGUUGGGAGGGUUUCCGCCCUUCAGUGCCGGAGCUAACGCAUUAAGCACUCCGCCUGGGGAGUACGACCGCAAGGUUGAAACUCAAAGGAAUUGACGGGGGCCCGCACAAGCGGUGGAGCAUGUGGUUUAAUUCGAAGCUACGCGAAGAACCUUACCAGGUCUUGACAUCUUGCGCCAACCCUAGAGAUAGGGCGUUUCCUUCGGGAACGCAAUGACAGGUGGUGCAUGGUCGUCGUCAGCUCGUGUCGUGAGAUGUUGGGUUAAGUCCCGCAACGAGCGCAACCCUUGUUACUAGUUGCCAGCAUUAAGUUGGGCACUCUAGUGAGACUGCCGGUGACAAACCGGAGGAAGGUGGGGACGACGUCAGAUCAUCAUGCCCCUUAUGACCUGGGCUACACACGUGCUACAAUGGACGGUACAACGAGUCGCGAACUCGCGAGGGCAAGCAAAUCUCUUAAAACCGUUCUCAGUUCGGACUGCAGGCUGCAACUCGCCUGCACGAAGUCGGAAUCGCUAGUAAUCGCGGAUCAGCAUGCCGCGGUGAAUACGUUCCCGGGCCUUGUACACACCGCCCGUCACACCAUGAGAGUUUGUAACACCCAAAGUCGGUGGGGUAACCUUUUAGGAGCCAGCCGCCUAAGGUGGGACAGAUGAUUAGGGGAAGUCGUAACA